This 1926-nucleotide long non-coding RNA is filed under the name Gallus gallus (chicken). RNAcentral describes it as "long non-coding RNA NONGGAT004128". Lineage: Eukaryota; Metazoa; Chordata; Aves; Galliformes; Phasianidae. The record is from RNAcentral.
UUUCAACCUACAGUCGUGCUCCCGGGGAGAGCCUCCAUGCCAAGAGACGUCUGUAUAAGGAGCGCUCUGUACAGCAGCCCCGGACGUGUGGGACAGCAGGCACCGAGGAGUGCGGCUGCUGGGGGGAGCAGCGGCACGGGACAUAAGCAGAGGGAUGUGAUGCCUUCUGCUAAAGAGAGGCUAAUUCUGUCUCCCUAAAGGGCGGCUGGUUACGGCACGGGAGCGCCAAGUUAAUAAACCAACCCUUUUAAAUGCUGUCUUCUACAUACGCUGUCUCGAGACGUACCAACCACGUUAUCUGCGGUGUCGAUGUUUUCCUCCUUGCACAUCAACACGGCCACAAACGUUUGUUUUCUCCAGAGGGAGCUGAGGUCCAUCAGACGGAACUAGCUAGCUGCGGGGCAACCAAACCGAGCAGCCUGGCAACCACAGCAGGAGCUGGCAGGCAGGGAGCUGGCUGGGGCCGCAGCCUCCCGCGUCCCUCUCGCAUCCCUCCCGUUCCCAUCCGUCCCUGCCGGCCGGCGGUACGGCGCAGCACCCUCUGGUGGCACUCGGCAGCCGGCGGGGCUGGCUCGCACGCCGGGCUUCAUCCUCCUCUUCCUCCGCGGAUCACCUGCUGCGGCCGCUCGGGUGGGGAAGUGCUGGGGGACUGCCUGAAAGUGAAGUGGGAGAGAGUUUAGGGUUGGAGUCGUGUCGCAUCUCUCGGCAUUUACAAAGAAAGGUGGUGGUGACAAGAGAAGGAUGUGGUGACUCAGGAGGCAGCAAUAAGAAAGCCCAGGGUGAAGUUUCACUUUGAUUUCAGCGGAAAAGUUCCCCGUGAAGAUGCUCCCAGUUUGCAGUCGGCAGAGAAGCAGCUCACCUGAGUUUCACGGAGGGGUAAGCCACUUCACGCUGGGUGUACAGAAAGGUUAGGCCUGCCCCCCAUCUUUAGGGUAAACACAGAUGAGCUGAGUAGCUGCCCUAUAAGCAGGAGCACAGUGGCAGCCAGAGGAGGAGCUGCGUGGUUUCACGCUACAAAUGAGCAGCAGGUUCCUCUGCAAUCAUCUCCCUAGAGAUAAUCUAACAAAGUCCACACAGGGGGCUGGGCUACAGAUGCACGUCCUCCCAGGCUAAUGUGCUGGUGGAAGAGGUUAUCCUCCGUGCCUGUGGUUAACAAUCCCUUCAGAUCUGCUUUGCUGCACUGUGCUUGAAUGCUUCUUACAUUUUCUCAGCCAGAACAGGGGAAGGUUAGCAGAGACAUUCUGUGUUUACAACGUCCUUCUCUAUGCAUGAGAGGAAGCUGUCACCCCACAGCCUGGACUGAAGCAGCAGGAACCUCCAGCACUGGGCGAGAGCCAGUGACAGUGGCUUCUGCCACAGCCUGCAUGCAUGUCUGCUGCCUACGUGCACAGUGACAGUGUGCAAGGCGUCCACGGUUUGCCUUGUCACACACAGGCUUUCACGUGGAGAUAAGCCUGCUGCUAACGCAUCCAACUUGGCUAACAUUUUAAACGUUGCAGGCUUAGCUUUGCCGUUGUUUAAAUUCUCAAAUCGGUGUGAUACAGCUCCAGUGGCAAAAAAAUCAGCAUAAACGUGGCCUGCCAAAACUAGUGGGUCCAAAGGAAGAUGUUCAACACAUCUGAAGCUGGGCUAAGUGUACGCUGGUCAGGAUUCCUGGGUGCCAGCCCACCUGUAUGGAGAGCAAUCAUGGUUUGUGCCAGCUGAGCACAAAGUGACCAGCUGGUACAGAAGCAGGAACAAGGUCGCUUUAUGGCUGUGGACCUGAGAAAAGGAGGAACACCACAACAGAUGUAACACAGAGACACACUUUUGCCACUUCUGGUUAUGGACACACAAUCAGUGAACCACAGAAUCGCCAAGGUCGGAAAAGACUUCCAAUAUCAUCCAGCCCAACCCUCCACCUACCACCAGUAUUUCCCCACUGAA